ACUUUCUCAAAGAUGCAUUGUCUCACCUGAAGAUUUUGGGGCAUGCUCAACCUCAAAGCAGACUGACAGGCACUCCAUGUCUUCUGCAUUCAGCCUUCUACUGAAGCACUUCUGGAGGCUGUAACUGAAGUGGAAAUGAAAGGAUCACUCAAAACAAUCAAGAGAUGCAGUAUUAAGGCAUGUGUCUGAACUAACUUCUGCACUACAGUGAAAGGACCCUUUAUGUCAAGGCAACAGAGGUGCUAUGAUUGCCAAAUAAACUUACUAUGCACCCAGAGAGAUAUGGCCAAGAGCCUGACUCUGCUUGUAUGGUCAGCACUGCAAAGCCACAGUAACUCCACUGCCACUGGAGUGGUACCUGUGACAAAUGAGCCUUAGCGUGAUGAGAAUCAGGCACUGAAUCCAGAAUGAAGGUGGUACUUCCAAGUGAGGGCCACUAACCUACCGAAAAGCCUGGAUGAAGCAUUUGGAAGCUAUCUUUGCUAUUGCCAGGCUGUGAAUUCACCAGUUUUGGGUUGAGCCAUGCUGUAGAAGCCUUACAGAGAGCUCUUCCCAGGACUGAACAAACAACAUACUUGAGCUGACCUUCAGGCAUCCAGGUGAACACAGAGUCAGUUCUGCACUUCAGGAGCUAGCAUGAAGCCCAAGAGGAAAUGUUCAUCACUCAGUGGGAAUACAAGAAAGAGAGCAUUUCAAAGGUGUUUUAUUAUCAAAGGGACACUUUCUGAGCUCCGGAUGAUAGGAUCAGGAGCUGCACAAGGGAAGCAAAUGAACUGUAAGCCAAACUCUAUUUUGUAAAAUAGUGUACUUAAAGCAUUUAUUGCCAUAUACCAGUUAUCACUAGUGUGAUUAAAUGCAUACGAUGCUAUGUAGCUUUCUUUUGUUUCUCAGCAGCUAGACUAAGCUUACGUCUCUUCUACCUGCUAUGAUUGGUGUACUUGUACUGUGUCCAAACAACUCAGAGGAAAGCAAAUAUUUAUUAUUGAUUCCUUUGAAUCAAUUAUUUCUUUUAUUUUCUUUUUGUUCAGUUGGUUGUUUUAUAAAUAAAUGUGCUGCAGCUUAAGUGCUACAGCUCAACUAAACCUG
Molecule: long non-coding RNA, 1086 nt
Organism: Neopsephotus bourkii (Bourke's parrot)
Lineage: Eukaryota; Metazoa; Chordata; Aves; Psittaciformes; Psittacidae
Exons: 2
Source: RefSeq, a predicted model, not a curated record